Molecule: ribosomal RNA, 253 nt
Filed under: uncultured bacterium
Lineage: Bacteria
Description: partial 16S ribosomal RNA
Rfam family: Bacterial small subunit ribosomal RNA
Source: RNAcentral
UACGGGGGGGGCAAGCGUUGUUCGGAAUUACUGGGCGUAAAGGGCUCGUAGGCGGCCAACUAAGUCAGACGUGAAAUCCCUCGGCUUAACCGGGGAACUGCGUCUGAUACUGGAUGGCUUGAGGUUGGGAGAGGGAUGCGGAAUUCCAGGUGUAGCGGUGAAAUGCGUAGAUAUCUGGAGGAACACCGGUGGCGAAGGCGGCAUCCUGGACCGGCAUUGACGCUGAGGCGCGAAAGCCAGGGGAGCAAACGGG